AAUCAACGCUGGCGGCGUGCCUCAGACAUGCAAGUCGAACGAUUAAAGCUCUCUUCGGAGAGUGUAUAGAGUGGCGCACGGGUGAGUAACACGUAAGUAAUCUACCCUCGGGUGGGGAAUAACAUUCGGAAACGAAUGCUAAUACCGCAUAAUGCAGCGGCUCCUAAUGGAGACAGUUGUUAAAGGAUUUAUUCGCCUGAGGAGGAGCUUGCGGCAGAUUAGCUAGUUGGUAAGGUAAUGGCUUACCAAGGCUACGAUCUGUAGCCGGUCUAAGAGGACGGUCGGUCACACUGACACUGAAUAACGGGUCAGACUCCUACGGGAGGCAGCAGUCGGGAAUUUUGGGCAAUGGGCGAAAGCCUGACCCAGCAACGCCGCGUGAAGGAUGAAGUAUUUCGGUAUGUAAACUUCGAAAGAAUAGGAAGAAUUAAUGACGGUACUAUUUAUAAGGUCCGGCUAACUACGUGCCAGCAGCCGCCGUAAC
RNAcentral lists this ribosomal RNA (484 nucleotides) under uncultured bacterium. Its description in RNAcentral is "bacterial SSU rRNA". It matches the Rfam family "Bacterial small subunit ribosomal RNA", at positions 32 to 524 of the family's 1533-position model. The record is from RNAcentral.